This 333-nucleotide ribosomal RNA is filed under the name uncultured bacterium. RNAcentral's name for it is "bacterial SSU rRNA". It matches the Rfam family "Bacterial small subunit ribosomal RNA", at positions 567 to 898 of the family's 1533-position model. The record is from RNAcentral.
GCGCGUAGGCGGGAUGGCAAGUCGGUCGUGAAAUCCUUCGGCUCAACCGAAGAACGUCGGCCGAUACUGCCGUUCUUGAGGGAUGCAGAGGAGACUGGAAUUCCCGGUGUAGCGGUGAAAUGUGUAGAGAUCGGGAGGAACACCGGUGGCGAAGGCGGGUCUCUGGGCAUCUCCUGACGCUGAGGCGCGAAAGCGUGGGGAGCAAACGGGAUUAGAUACCCCGGUAGUCCACGCCAUAAACGAUGACGACUAGGUGUGGGGUGGUUCAGUCCACUCCGUGCCGCAGCUAACGCAUUAAGUCGUCCGCCUGGGGAGUACGGCCGCAAGGUUGAA